Small nucleolar RNA from Pteropus vampyrus (large flying fox), 103 nucleotides. The record is from Ensembl. Lineage: Eukaryota; Metazoa; Chordata; Mammalia; Chiroptera; Pteropodidae.
AUUCUUUUGUAGUUCUAAGCGUGAUGAUUGGGUGUUCAUGCUGUUGCGUGAGAUGUUCCUCCCUCAAACCUUGUUAUGACAUCAGCACAUUACCUGUCUGAUG